CCCUUAGAGUUUGAUCCUGGCUCAGGAUGAACGCUAGCUACAGGCUUAACACAUGCAAGUCGAGGGGCAGCAUGGUCUUAGCUUGCUAAGGCUGAUGGCGACCGGCGCGCGGGUGAGUAACACGUAUCCAACCUGCCGUCUACUCUUGGCCAGCCUUCUGAAAGGAAGAUUAAUCCAGGAUGGGAUCAUGAGUUCACAUGUCCGCAUGAUUAAAGGUAUUUUCCGGUAGACGAUGGGGAUGCGUUCCAUUAGAUAGUAGGCGGGGUAACGGCCCACCUAGUCAACGAUGGAUAGGGGUUCUGAGAGGAAGGUCCCCCACAUUGGAACUGAGACACGGUCCAAACUCCUACGGGAGGCAGCAGUGAGGAAUAUUGGUCAAUGGGCGAUGGCCUGAACCAGCCAAGUAGCGUGAAGGAUGACUGCCCUAUGGGUUGUAAACUUCUUUUAUAAAGGAAUAAAGUCGGGUAUGCAUACCCGUUG
RNAcentral lists this ribosomal RNA (480 nucleotides) under uncultured bacterium. RNAcentral's name for it is "bacterial SSU rRNA". It matches the Rfam family "Bacterial small subunit ribosomal RNA", at positions 1 to 471 of the family's 1533-position model. The record is from RNAcentral.